Molecule: ribosomal RNA, 441 nt
Filed under: uncultured bacterium
Lineage: Bacteria
Description: partial 16S ribosomal RNA
Rfam family: Bacterial small subunit ribosomal RNA
Source: RNAcentral
CCUACGGGCGGCAGCAGUGGGGACUAUUGCACAAUGGGGGAAACCCUGAUGCAGCGACGCCGCGUGAGUGAAGAAGUAUUUCGGUAUGUAAAGCUCUAUCAGCAGGGAAGAAAAUGACGGUACCUGACUAAGAAGCCCCGGCUAACUACGUGCCAGCAGCCGCGGUAAUACGUAGGGGGCAAGCGUUAUCCGGAUUUACUGGGUGUAAAGGGAGCGUAGGUGGCAUGGUAAGCCAGAAGUGAAAACCCGGGGCUCAACCCCGCGGAUUGCUUUUGGAACUAUCAGGCUGGAGUGCGGGAGGGGCAGGCGGAAUUCCUGGUGUAGCGGUGAAAUGCGUAGAUAUCAGGAGGAACACCGGCGGCGAAGGCGGCCUGCUGGACCGCGACUGACGUUGAGGCUCGAAAGCGUGGGGAGCGAACAGGAUUAGAUACCCGGGUAGUC